This 479-nucleotide ribosomal RNA is filed under the name uncultured bacterium. Its description in RNAcentral is "partial 16S ribosomal RNA". It matches the Rfam family "Bacterial small subunit ribosomal RNA", at positions 28 to 507 of the family's 1533-position model. The record is from RNAcentral.
GAUGAACGCUAGCGGGAGGCCUAACACAUGCAAGCCGAGCGGUAGAGUUUCUUCGGAAACUUGAGAGCGGCGCACGGGUGCGUAACACGUGUGCAACCUACCUUUAUCUGGGGGAUAGCCUUUCGAAAGGAAGAUUAAUACCCCAUAAUAUAAUGAUUGGCAUCAAUUAUUAUUGAAAACUCCGGUGGAUAGAGAUGGGCACGCGCAAGAUUAGAUAGUUGGUGAGGUAACGGCUCACCAAGUCAAUGAUCUUUAGGGGUCCUGAGAGGGAGAUCCCCCACACUGGUACUGAGACACGGACCAGACUCCUACGGGAGGCAGCAGUGAGGAAGAUUGGACAAUGGGUGAGAGCCUGAUCCAGCCAUCCCGCGUGAAGGAUGACGGUCCUAUGGAUUGUAAACUUCUUUUGUACAGGGAUAAACCUACUCUCGUGAGGGUAGCUGAAGGUACUGUACGAAUAAGCACCGGCUAACUCCGUG